GAUGAACGCUGGCGGCGUGCCUAAUACAUGCAAGUCGAACGCUGAAGGAAGGAGCUUGCUCUUUCCGGAUGAGUUGCGAACGGGUGAGUAACGCGUAGGUAACCUGCCUGGUAGCGGGGGAUAACUAUUGGAAACGAUAGCUAAUACCGCAUAACAGUAGAUGUUGCAUGACAACUAUUUGAAAGGGGCAAUUGCUCCACUACCAGAUGGACCUGCGUUGUAUUAGCUAGUUGGUGAGGUAACGGCUCACCAAGGCGACGAUACAUAGCCGACCUGAGAGGGUGAUCGGCCACACUGGGACUGAGACACGGCCCAGACUCCUACGGGAGGCAGCAGUAGGGAAUCUUCGGCAAUGGACGGAAGUCUGACCGAGCAACGCCGCGUGAGUGAAGAAGGUUGUCGGAUCGUAAAGCUCUGUUGUAAGAGAAGAACGAGUGUGAGAGUGGAAAGUUCACACUGUGACGGUAUCUUACCAGAAAGGGACGGCUAACUACGUG
This 497-nucleotide ribosomal RNA is filed under the name uncultured bacterium. RNAcentral describes it as "partial 16S ribosomal RNA". It matches the Rfam family "Bacterial small subunit ribosomal RNA", at positions 28 to 507 of the family's 1533-position model. The record is from RNAcentral.